Molecule: small RNA, 259 nt
Filed under: Desulforamulus aeronauticus DSM 10349
Lineage: Bacteria; Bacillati; Bacillota; Clostridia; Eubacteriales; Peptococcaceae
Description: Desulfotomaculum aeronauticum DSM 10349 BsrG
Rfam family: BsrG
About the family: bsrE, bsrG and bsrH pair through intermolecular interactions with antisense sRNAs. SR4 interaction with the 3'UTR of bsrG RNA promotes bsrG degradation and inhibits its translation.
Source: RNAcentral
GUACAACAGAAAAGGCUCCUCUAGGGUGUUCUGGCUCAUCCCCGGUAGAAAGGGGGUGAGACUAUGACAGCAUUUGAAGCUUUGAUGUUGAUGCUAACCUUUGGCAUCUUAAUCGUGGCUAGGUUGUCGCAUAAUAGAAAGAAAUAGACCUCCCUUGAGCCUAGAAGCAACGGGAGGUCUACUCUUUUGCAGUAACCUUGAGCCAGCCCUUUAGAGGGCAACUGUUGUACUUUGACUGUGGGUGUUCGUAGCACCCACA